This is a long non-coding RNA of Taeniopygia guttata (zebra finch), 4520 nucleotides long. The record is from Ensembl. NCBI's taxonomy places the organism in Eukaryota, Metazoa, Chordata, Aves, Passeriformes, Estrildidae.
UUUUUUUUCCUUUCAGUUACAAUAUGAGCAUAAACAACACUAACUGAACCUUAGGACUAGAUGUGACAAAGCAGACCUGGAGCUGUUCCAGGCUGUCCCCACUGGAGAGAGCAGCACCAGAACAGGGAUGCCUAAGGGCCACUGAGGGAGAUAGCUGACCCACAGCUGCAGGGAACAGUCCUGUAUGUCCUAUUGUCCCCAGCUCCUUGGAGGUUGGAUACAAUGUUUUGGAAGGGUUUUCAAGCAAGUAAAGCUGUCCUGCAGGAGCUUUUUUCAAGCAGUGCAGCCAGGGUGUGCAAGCUGGUGGGAACAGUGGUUUGGGAUUGGCAGAGGUGGCCCUUGGGCACUGAGACUCCACAGCACUUCACAAAGAUUUUGUUCAGGACAAGGGUGUCCCUAGAAAGUGGAGCCUGGCCCUUUUGCCAUUGAAUUUGUAGGUAAUACACACAACUAGGAGAUGUGUCACCUCUGAGGAACAGGCAGCUGAGACCCACCAUGGCACAUUUUUCUCUGCCAAACUCAUUGCUCGGCUCCCCCCAGUCUGUAAUGGGAUCUGUGGGGUGCAGUGCAGGGUCAGUGUCUGGGUCUGCUGGGCUGGGCAGGUCACAGCACAGCUGUGCUGGGGACCACUCUUGUGUGGGAAGAUGUUUCAAGACACCAAGGAUGGGCCAGAGGAUUGGCAGUGCAGGGAUUCAAGUCACUGCACUAAUCCAGUUUUUCCAGAGUGGGAACCUAAAUCACCUUGCUAGGGAAGAAUGGGAGAUAGAAAUCCCACAGGGUAGAAUGAGGGUGAAGAAAGGAGACCUCUCUCUCUUCUACCACAUUCCCCAUUUCUCUCCAGUGCUUCAAAGUUUAGCACAGCAAAACGGAGCAGCACAGCCAAAGAUCUCAGUGGUAAGAAGGAAUAAAAGGGUGGUUAUUGCUACCAUGUAGGAUUAUGGUGAGGACAGAGAGGCUGCAAAAAUACCCUGACUGAAGCAAGAAGAAAGAAAGGAGAGAAAAAGGGAAGAAGCGUGGGUGGAAGGGAAGGAGAAAGAGAAGUAGGGAAGGAGAAGGAGGGAAGCAGAAACAGAGGGGGGGAGCUAGGGAAGGAAGGUGACUUUUAUCACACUUCUUUGGUGUAUCUCCAUUCACUAAGGCCUCACUGAUAAAAUGGGGAUUAACCAUCCAAAAUACAAAAGCAAAACCACUCACUUCAAGGGUAGGGCAAAUGAUAAUAUCCUCUCUUUAACACUGCUCCUCUGUAUCCUUCUCUGGUGCCAUGCAGCAAGCAGGAGAGUCACUGAGGCUGAGCAGUGUACCCCAGGUAUUUACUGGACUUCAUGGGAGCUCCUGCAGCCCUGCAUGAUGGCAGUCCCUCACUACCUGGUCUCUAAUGAGAGAUCAUCUCACGGAGGUUUCCUGGCUGGCAAGAAAACCUGUUGUGCUUUAACGCCUGUUAGACACUGGACCCAGGACAGCAGAAGGAGAGGUGAGAGAUGAGUGAGACAGAGGAAAGGUAGAAAAAUGCAGAUGGAGGAGCACCUUCUGAGGGUCAGGGUAAGCAAGAGUUGGCAAGGGCCUUCAAAAGGGCAAAAGAUUUUCAACUGGAAAGUCAACAAAGCUAGAGGUGCUUUGUGUGGAAGGGGUGCUCAAAAGGGUAAAGGAAGCAGGCACCCAUGAAGCAGUCUGUGAGUGAGUGCCAAGCAGAGGAGGGAGGAGGAUUGGCAGGGUGGCAUAGAAAGGCACUAAGGGGCUGUGAGGCAGGUCAGUAGAGGAGGUACCUUCUGUUCCCAGUGGCUCGCAAUAGCCAGGGCAAGUUGUCAGGAGCUCACAUUGAGCCUUGGCAUGUUGAGCUGGAAGUGGAGAAAGGGGAGCACUCUCAGGCUGCAGAGCUAAGUCAGCUACAGCACUUCCUGUCCCUGUCCUCACACGCUGGCAGCCUUGGUGGAGUGCUUCCCAGGGGCUGUCAUCCUCACCUUGCCACAAAGGAGCUGCGAGCCGGUGUGACAAGGGCACUGCCGUCCUCAUCCGGAGCAAGCACAGGUGCUGCCAAAGGCACCGGCUGCAGCUCUGCUGCGGACCUUGCUCUGUUCCUUGAGCAAAGAUUGGUUCUGUGGGGUUUGGUCAGCUUUGGAGGGCACAAGUUUGAAAUGUGUUUGCAGGUGGGAGGAGUAAUCAGUCUCACAAUGAUGCUUCUACCACUAAAUCCCUAAUUUUGCACACUCAUGUAGAGGGCAGCUCACACUGACCUUUCUCCCCAGAGCCUCAUGCAUCUACUCGUGGCCUCACAAAGCAGCCUCCAAAACCUCAGAGUCCCAGCUCUCAGCCUCAGUAGCCCCAAACCCUAACUGAGUGGCCAUGGAGCUGCAAAUAGCUCAGCUCCCAGGAAGGCAGUGCACAUCCUGCCUUGGAGAAUGAAGAGGUUGAGUCAGCCACAGCAAGAAAUGCACCCCAAGAAGGACAGAAGUGCUGGAUGCUAUUAGCACUCCUCCCUCCAAAAAAAUUCCACCUAGUCUUUGUUGUCUCAUGCCAAACCACCUUGUGCCCUUGCUAAGCCUGGCAUUGCUGGAAGGGGGCCAGCAGCCACAGCAGAGCAUGAGACAAUUAUGACAGAAAUAAUGUUUUUUGUUGUUGUUUUUGAGAGCAGCAAGGCAGAUAAUUUAAAAAAUAACAUAUUUGAGUUGUUCACAUCAUGGAGUCCCUGGGAUGCUAAGCUGACUAACCAAAUAUCUUUUAAGAAAAUAAUUUUUGCUGGGGUUUUCUUGGAUUUCCAUAUGAGUUUGCUAAUAAAAGGCAGAGGAAAAACAAUGCAAGAGGGUUAACUUGUUCCCUGAUUGAAUAACUAAAAUAAUCACUGCAUGAAACAAUAAAGAUCCAUGUGGCUUUUAUGCCACUCUGAUGACACAGCUGAGCACUCUCUGGCAUUAUAUAGCAAAUACACACACUGUAGAAAUACUAAUUAAAAACCAAUAUAAUUAGUAUUAAUUGCAUAUUGCUUAUGUAAUGAGGCAAUUUUAUAUUUGUAAUUUUAAAAUAAAGUAAAAAGGAAAAUAAUGUUUUAGGUAGUAGUUUGCCAUCAGGCUGCCCAACAGGCGACAGUGCGGGUUUUUGCUGUUCUUGCUGUUGUUUCUUCUUGUUGCUGUUUUCCCCUAUUUUCCUGACCAUCACAGACCCUAAAGACUAGUGAGGAGACAUCUCACAGGCCGUUUGUGCUACUGGCAGCACAUAAAUGUAGUAGUAAUGGUCAGGCUUGUCAAACACAUCUGAUGCCACAGCUAAACUGCUUCUAUUUCCAGCUUCUCACAAAAAAGGCAAGCCUGCUCUCCUCAUCUGACACCAGAAGCUGGGAUGCUCCCAUGAACCUGUCUUGGGAUGGCUGGGAAAGGGCAACAGUUGGUCUUUUAUUUCCCUCAUUCCCAGGUGUAUCCUCCUGCACAUGUGGUCACAACAAACAUGACUCAGGGUUUGCUGCAGGGCUGCCCUUCAGGUCAAGUAGCACUUGCGCAUGGGGCCCAGUGCUGACCAGCCCCAAAGGCUUCACUGUGCUUGGCAAAGACAUGGCCUUUGUCUUUCAUGAGGGCUGGGGUUCCCUCACCUUGCCUGUGUCUGCACCCUGAUGGGUGCCUUCCUACCCUCUUGCUGCCACGGGAUUUUGGCACCACAGACUGAAACCAUUGCCUUAUUGGGUGCCCCUGCCCCAGUUCAACAGUACCUGUAUGCAAAGUCUGUUUUCUGCUUGAGAAAGCAUGUCCCCAGAGAUAUAGAAUUAAUCUCAAUGACUUCACACUCAGUCUCACAGAUCAUUCAUCUGAUAAUUAACCAAAAGAUUGUUCAGAUUUACAUCUGAAGUCCCCACGCUUCUCCAUUGCAGCCAAAUUCCACAAGAGUAUUUGCCGACCUUUUAGUGCACAGCUUUUAAUUCCACUGCACCUCAGAACACUGUUCUUUAGCAAAGAUCUUUAUUAAGGAGAAUUAAUUAACUAGGUUUGCUGUCUGGAUAAUCAAUUUUCUUGGUAUAAAUUGAGCAGAGUUGGAAGAACGCCGAGCUGAUGCUCCUCUGAUUUCCCCACACAGAGAAUAAAAAUAGAAGAAGAUCCAGAUGGAGAAAUAUGGUAGGGAUCAGAUUCCUUCUGAAUACAGAGUUUUGGCAACCUCAGAAAAUGGGGUGAACAUUGCUGCAAUAUAAUUUCCUAAGUGCACUGGGAAAGUUAAUGUCAAAAUGUCCUCUAAAUUAGAGAUUUAGAGAUCUUAGAAGGAAAGGGAAAUGUUUCAUUCUGAAGCAACUUUUCAUUUAGACAUUGAAAGAAAGGCAAAAUCAAGGGCAAAAAUCUGAGUGAAAUGUUUUAAUUGUAUUUGAAAAAAAAAUACAGUGAACAGGCUUAGUUUGUUUUGGGUUUUUUUGGUGGGUAUGUUUUAAAUUUUCCUCUACGGAGCAGUUUAACAACCUGGUGUCUCUCAGCCCUGUGUGGAGUAUUCCUCCCCACCCCUUCCACGCUGGUAAUACUUUUUGCUGCCUUUUGAGCCCUAGACGAAAGCCC